Molecule: ribosomal RNA, 427 nt
Filed under: uncultured bacterium
Lineage: Bacteria
Description: bacterial SSU rRNA
Rfam family: Bacterial small subunit ribosomal RNA
Source: RNAcentral
GUGGGGAAUAUUGGGCAAUGGGCGCAAGCCUGACCCAGCAACGCCGCGUGAAGGAAGAAGGCUUUCGGGUUGUAAACUUCUUUUGUCGGGGACGAGUAGAAGACGGUACCUGGCGAAUAAGCCACGGCUAACUACGUGCCAGCAGCCGCGGUAAUACGUAGGUGGCAAGCGUUGUCCGGAUUUACUGGGUGUAAAGGGCGUGUAGCCGGGAAGGCAAGUCAGAUGUGAAAUCCACGGGCUUAACUCGUGAACUGCAUUUGAAACUGUUUUUCUUGAGUAUCGGAGAGGCAAUCGGAAUUCCUAGUGUAGCGGUGAAAUGCGUAGAUAUUAGGAGGAACACCAGUGGCGAAGGCGGAUUGCUGGACGACAACUGACGGUGAGGCGCGAAAGCGUGGGGAGCAAACAGGAUUAGAUACCCCAGUAGUCC